AAUAGUGAAGUCAUGAUCCUGUAUUUACGAGAUCACCGUCAGCUGCCAUGGAAAUGUCAUGCACUGAUGUGAUGUCAUAAUUCAGCCAUAUGAUUCCAGCGCAAGAGCAAGUAGGAGGAGCAGAUGGGCUGUGAAGUACAUAACCCUGGCUUAAUACCAAAUAUAUCUGAUAAUUAGCAGAAGUGAUACCACCAUUACAGGAAAAGAUGUGAAAGCCUCUGUGGAAUUCCAGUAUAUUGGCUAAUAGGAAGAAUGGUCAUAAGCAGUUAUAAUGCGGCUGGGAAGGCAGAGUACAAUACUUACAGAACAGAACGAGCAAUGUGCCAAAGAGCCGUAUGAUAAGGAAGAAAUGUGUUUUCGAUCAAGAAAAACCAGUUUAAUGCACUUACUGGGAACACAGUAUUUUACACAGACACUUCUUCACUGGCCAUGUGAAUUUAAGGAACCCUCCUGCUGGUUACUCAGAUUCUUUGCAGACAAUCAGGCCAGAAGCAAAACGUUAUAAAUUCUUAAGGUACUGUACUCAGUGAGAUUUACAUCCUAUUUUAUACAGACCAAAAACAAGAACAGAAAAGAUACCAUGUAAGCAUCUGAACAACCAUACAACAAAUGCCAUUUCAAGCAUCAUUAUGCUGCCUUUCACAGACUUUUACAAGCCUCACUAUGGUUAGCAAUUCCAGCUGACUCGUAAAGCGGUUUUAAAAUUCAUCAUUGAAAAGAAUGUUUAUCUCUGUGUUUUCUCCAGUUCGGGAGUAAAAUUAUACUCUUAAAACCUG
Long non-coding RNA from Mauremys reevesii (Reeves's turtle), 776 nucleotides. RefSeq lists it as uncharacterized. The record is from RefSeq and is a predicted model, not a curated record. NCBI's taxonomy places the organism in Eukaryota, Metazoa, Chordata, Testudines, Geoemydidae. The transcript is spliced from 2 exons.